AGCAAUUCUCCUACCUCAGCCUCCCGAGUAGCUGGGAUUACAGGUGCUGCCAUGGCCACGACUGAUGUUACACUCGAGCUGAGGAGGCCGGCUGCAGCCCCAAGACAGAGCGCUACUCCUGGCAGUGCGUCAAUCAGAGCGUCCUGUGCGGAUCUUCUUCACUCUGGAGGUGCCACCCAUGAGAACAAAGAGCUCUGGAGAGAUGUGGAUUCCUGAAGAGCUGCAGGGGAACUGGGAGAGGGUUUUCUGACAGAACAAUCUCACCUCAAGAAGUCACUUAGGCAUGGCUGUAAUAUUUCUUUUCACUCCCAGGUAAUACCAAAUU
This 325-nucleotide long non-coding RNA is filed under the name Homo sapiens (human). RNAcentral's name for it is "HSALNT0384960". The record is from RNAcentral. Lineage: Eukaryota; Metazoa; Chordata; Mammalia; Primates; Hominidae.